AGUGAACGUUGGCGGCGUGGAUUAGGCAUGCAAGUCGAGCGAGAACCGUAGCAAUACGGGGACAGCGGCGAAAGGGACAGUAAUGUGUAGGUACCUACCUCCGGGUUCGGGAUAGCUGCGGGAAACUGCAGGUAAUACCGAAUAACGUCUCCGGACCAAAGGUGAGAUUCCACCUGGAGAGGGGCCUGCAUCCUAUUAGCUUGUUGGCGGGGUAACGGCCCACCAAGGCGACGAUGGGUAGCGGGUGUGAGAGCACGACCCGCGUCAUUGGGCCUGAGACACUGCCCAGACACCUACGGGUGGCUGCAGUCGUGACUCUUCGGCAAUGGGCGCAAGCCUGGCCGAGCGACGCCGCGUGCGGGAUGAAGGCCUUCGGGUUGUAAACCGCUGUCGUAGAGGAGGAAAUGCAGGGGGGUUCUCCCUCUUGUUUGACCUAUCCUAGGAGGAAGUACGGGCUAAGUUCGUGCCAGCCGCCGCCGUAA
Molecule: ribosomal RNA, 482 nt
Filed under: uncultured bacterium
Lineage: Bacteria
Description: partial 16S ribosomal RNA
Rfam family: Bacterial small subunit ribosomal RNA
Source: RNAcentral